CUAUGUGCUUGUAACAUUUAUAUUUACAGCAGUCACCCACACAGGAGUUAAAGUGUGCAUCUGUCAUCCAUUCACAUAUUUACAGGCAGUAAAAGAAAAGAUCUGCACACAGUCUCUUUGUGUUAACUUCACACCGACAGCAGACCUGUUCUUAUGACUCUCACGUAAGAGAUCAUAGACUAGCAUGGAUUUUUUUCUACGCUUAUGGUAAUAAAUUUAGAAUUGCCUUGAUGCAGCACUCCGUGGUUUUCAGGUUGAUUCAUUUUGCAAUUUGUCACCAUUUGACUUUGUGCAGAGUCUCGAUUUUUUUUUAAAGAUAGUGUGAGCUUACAGUAAUUGUGUUUAUAUGCAGUUCCUGGUCAUGACUCAUUUGCAUGCAUGUGGCUCAUUGAGGGAUUUUUCAUUUAAUUCAGAGUUGCUAGUUUAAAAGUUUAAUUAAUGAAAAACAGUUUUCUUAGCUUAAAACAUUUUAAUGUUCUAAACAUAAAAUAUUCUAAAAAGACAUAUAUUCAUCUAAAAAAAAGUGUUAUUUGCAUAGUUGCAUGAUUGAUGUUAUCUUUCUUUGUAUGCUAAACUCAGAUAACUUCUCAGUUAAAAAAAAAUGGUCACCAAAGAAUUCAAUAUUUCUUGCAUAAGGAAAUAAUUCCUUUUAAUAGAAGAUUUGCUCAGCAACAGAAUGAUGUCAAGUUUCUUUGGGAACAGCUGCAGUUGGAGCAUUAUUGUGGAUUGUAGGAAUAUAUAGGCAUUUCAAUUUGCCUGGCAGAUCUUUUGUGUCAAGAGGGCUAGUACCAUGUGAAGACAUUUUUGACACCAACUGUAGUGUACUCGGGGAUUUCAAAGAAUGCAAAUGAAUUUCAUGGAGAUAAAAAAAGUUCUCAAAUGUCUGUGGCAUGUGUAUAAGGUUUUCAUUUCAGAUUUAAGUCUUAGAAAAAAAACAGAUGAAAAGGUGUUUCUCCACAUUUUAAAUAGCAAAUAAAAUGACUGUUAGGAUAAAUGAACACAGAAGCAAGGAAUAAAUUACCUGAAAUUCAAUUUUCUGCUUUUAUAUUUUUUAUAUUGUGUGCUUAAUUUUUGUUUGUUAUUUUUUAAUUUUAAAAAUGAUACUUGAUAUUAUACCUAACAGGCUGUAAAGCGUUUUUGCAUCACAAAUUGAAAAUUUUUUAAAAUAUGGCCAAUGUACUAAUCAGAUCAACAAUUAAGGUUAAGGUUAACGCUUAAUUAUGAUUUGUUGUCAAUACACCAUGCAUUUUGAAUGAAAACAAUCUACUAUCUGCACAAAUAUGAGGGAUGUGAAGACAUGAGUUUCAGCCAACUCAAUUGUAGGCAAAACAUACGACAUCAUCAACGUCAUUGAGGACGGACUUGGUAACAAAUUAAAUGGAAUAUCAAUGGUUAUCGUCGGUUUUUUUUUUUUUUUUUGUUUUUGGAAGAUACUGAGGGUACAAGAAUGUGAACAAUCACUGUCACUGGAGUUUGUCUCCCCUCCCCCUCAAAAGUAUCUUCCUACACCACUGGAGGGAGGGAUUGAGGUGUAGGAGGGUGGGCGCUGUUCUGUGGUUCCGCAGAUAUUGACUACUGUUGUUGGUGCUGUUAAUUUUGUGCUGUCCUUUAUUUGUUGCUCCUUGGUUUGGGGCCUAAAAGGCAGGUCCCUACCAAGUGGUAGCCUGAGAUAAUGGUGGGGUUCUUUUAUUGUUUUUUAAUAUCUCUGUGUAUUCUUUGUGUUUAAAUAUAUUUCUCAAGUUCUCAUAUAUAUUGAUUUGAAUAUAGAUAUAUUUUCAUAUUUUUAAAUACUUACCCUUCGUUAUCAUGAAAGAUAUGCGUGAUUUUAAUGUUGUUAUAAAUGUCAAAAGAGGCCCAUAUACUUUUGGAAAUUAAUGGUUAGCUCAAGCUAUCGAUUUAUUUAUGGCAACCCUUUAAUAGCUUUUAGUUUUUUUAUAAGGGGAUUUGGUCUUAUGUUUAUAUAAAUCUAUGUGUGAUGGCAUGUUACCAUAGUUACUACGUAUGGCUGUACAUUAUGCUAUAGUUUUUUCACUUUCAGGCACCGGUAUAGAUGUGAUAUGUUUGUUGCCGUCGGGAAGGGGGUCAUCUCCCUUUAUUCCUCCCCUACAUCACCCCAAAAUCUUCAAGCAGUACAAAACCGCGCUUGUGAUACUCUAUCUCGCACAUAAAAGACUCGAUCGCUUGUCACCACUGCAGUGAGCGGCGGCUCGGGGUAUUUCAGAUCUCGUCUCGGGACACCCUCUGUAUGUGACACCUGUCCACAGCACGGACGUGUAUAGAUGGACUGCUGUCUGCAGAGACCAAUGUUUAGCAUCUUACGAAGUUUUCCCGCUGCAACCCUAUGAACCCAACGGAAGCUUUGUAUACACACCUGCCUCGUUUUAGUAAUUAACUGGAAAUCAUCUGCCAGCAGUCCAGCAUUACAAGUUCGUGGUCUCCGGUUUCCUCCCUCCUCCCGGUCCCCCAUAGUGCGAUAUCGCCGCAAGGUGGAAGCCCUUUACCUACUAAACAAACCAACCAACCCAUAAAAUCAGUCUGAGCUGAUUCAUGUCAAUCUUUGAUGUCGGUGUCCACACGUAACAAACCAAAAGUGAGAAAUGCAGGGCUGUCGGGGUCCAUGGCAGGUGGUUGAUAGGCCACUUAGUCGUCCCUCCCUCGAGGCCUCUUGCGUAACGAGAGUACUAUGUAGGUCACACUGCACGGCCUGUGAGUGUCAGCAGCUAAACGCAGUCAAACUUCCGACAGGAGGAAGUGUCAUCCUGUCACACUACGGGGAUGAUGACAACUAAAACCUGUCACCUUUUUUUGUUGUGUUUUGAAGGGAAAAGUUCUUCCACCCGAAUGUUUGAAACUUCGUAGUGUGAAUAAAAUUUACGUGCAGCCUAGACCGGCCUUUUUUUUUUUCUUCCUCCGUCGGCGAUCACGCUAUUGACGCAUUGAAACACAAAACAUGCAAACAACAACAAACAGAAGGCCAGUAUCGUCAUAUAUGUAUUUUCUGAAACCUUUAUUCAUCCAUUGAUGUAGUUUCAGAUUCAACCAAGAAAAAAAUAAAGGUGUAAGCAAUCCAAGUCCGACUGUAUGCCAACUUUAAUUGUCACAAGCUCAUUUAUCAAUCUGGUGUUUUUAUGGUUUGCCACCAUCUUAACGGUAUCUGUAUUUUUUCUUUUGUGAGGAUGAGGGGUGUAAAUUUUACUUAUUCAAGCUAUCCUAUCUUUGGUUAUAGUUUUGGUUAUGAAUGGCCGAAGGAAGCUCAUACUGUAUUUCAAUGAUAUGUUUCAAAUUUCAUUUACGGUUAUGCUAGGCUAACAGUCCCGCUCAUUCAUUUAUGGCAAUGUUUAGAAUUUUUUAUUUUGGUUUUUGUUGUUUUUCAAUGGAAUGUUAUCCAGUUUGUACUCUCUGCCUGUUUAUAUGCACCUAAAUUCGGAAUUUUGCUUUCCACCAUUGGGACUACUAAUGACAGUAUAGUAUGCCAUAGCUGUUUGGGUUUGUUAAGGCAACUAAUAAUGUUUAAUGCCAGUCUAUAUUAAUAUAAGACAGUUUAAGCCUUCUCUUUCCUAAUUAUUCUCUAACAGCACGUGUGAGGUGAUAUAUCUGUGACAAGGGUCUUUGUAUUUAGUUAAGUAUACUUCGUUAAGCCUUAUUCUAGCCGUUUUGGAUUACAUAUGGGACCACGAACUUGUCUGUACACGUCCGUGGUGGGACUAUCAGCACUUCGUUUUGCAACCAGUCUAGCUAGUUUAUCAAUCUCUUCAUUUUUUUUACUCCGAUAUGCGAGGGAAGCUAAAGGAAUCAAUGGCUCCAUAUUCUGUUUGAGAAAGUAUCUGAGAAGGAUGAACAGCGCAAAUGACACAAACAUAAAGAGAACUGAAUUUUCAAACUUUAUUUUUAUUGCUUUUUUGUCUUUCUCUAUAUCUCUUAUCUUUCUUUCGAAAGUAAUCAAAAUCUACCCUAAUUUUUGCUACAACGCAAGUGAAGUAAUGUUGAGGAAAUGCCUUGAUUAAACUAAGACCAACAUUUGGUGAUGAUGUCGGCACAAACAAUUAAACGCGCGCAGACACCAUGACAGUUACAGGUGGCUGAUUGACCACUUAUGUAGUCUUCACAUGCCUGCCGCCUGUCCAUUGGUCAUGUAAGUAGACAAGUUGCUGAGAGGUCACUGCGCCUAAAAAGAACCAAGGGCCAAACCAGGGAGCAGAGAUAAACUCCCGACAGAUGGCGGCCUUUCUGUUAUUUGAGGGUAGUGGUGUCAAGUGGUCUUAGUCGUACUUAGGCCGACUCUCCGCUUUGCUCGAGGCGAUUUAGCUCUGACGAUAAAAGCCUUCGGGGGGAAAGGAGUGAAACAGUUGUAGUGGGAGGGCUUGUUUAGGGCAGCGUGUACCACCGACAGUGCUUGUUCCCCACAACCCACAUCCCCUUCCACCCCACGCUUGGUCGCGCGAGACGGACAACAGCAGGUGACGCAGCACCCAAACUGUCCCGUAUAAAUAGCAGGCAAAACUGUCCCGUAUAAAUAGCAAGCAAAAGUCAGCGCUUGCACCUGUUUACCGAAAGGCGGCUGGUCCUGCUGUGAAAAGCAGUAAAACUUUAGUUCUGAGUACGUGAGUAGUAGUACCAUUCUGUAGCGAAUCGAAACCUCCGGGAUCACUACACCGCAAGGUGGUUUGCUCCCGCUGGAAAACGGCUCGCGUCACUCAACCAUUCCCUCCAAAUAAAAGCACACUGAGUUUUGCCGCAAGAUAUUUAAAAUUAAAAAAAAAGGAUAAACUCUCAGUAAUCAUUUUUUUUCCUGACAGAGAUUCAAAAACAGACAAUUUGGCAAAAUUGUACAGCUGUUGGAAAAUAAAAGAUCAUGGCAAUAAAAUAGUACACUCAUAGACAUGUCCUGAACAUGAAAGCGAAAAAUCAUUCCCUCCAAAUAAAAGCACACUGAGUUUCGCCGCAAGAAAUUUAAAAUUAAAAAAAAAAAAAAAGAUAAACUCUCAGUAAUCAUUUUUUUCCUGACAGAGAUUCAAAAACAGACAAUUUGGCAAAAUUGUACAGCUGUUGGAAAAUAAAAGAUCAUGGCAAUAAAAUAGUACACUCAUAGACAUGUCCUGAACAUGAAAACGAAAAAUCAAAUUAGUUCUGCCAAACCUGGGAGGAGCAAAAUGACUCCAUUGGAGCAACUGAAAAACAAACUAUAAAGACAAUGAUUUAAUGUUAACGAAAAAAACAAAACAAAAAACAAAACCAAAAAUAGAUGCACCCAAUGUACUUGUCAUCAAACAGCAAUCCAUCUCAUUAUUUUCAGAUUUUUCCUCACGAGGCCUCUCUAAACAUAAGAUACCAGAUCUGAACUCAAUUUUGUUCAGAAUAUCUGCAAAAAUAUUUUUACAGUUCAAAGAAAAUAAAAAUCAGUAAGCUGCUAUAUCGAUAUAGGCAAAAUGUGCACAAAUAAACAUGUUAAAAUCAUUUCUUGUAAUCUUAUUGUAGUGCAAUGUUUACAAACUGCAGUACUGUUUGCUCUAACUUUAGAACUUAUUUAGCAUAAAUAAGCUCAUAAUGGAGAAUCUGUCAGGAGGAUAAUUAUCGUAAUUGAUAAAAAAAAAAUGCCUAUUAAAUAUUGAGCACAUAUUAUAGUACUGAUUUUCUCUAUCCAGUCUAUAUCUAGAUUAGAGUGAUCACGUUUUUACAUUAACAGUUAGAGUAAUUAAGAUUUAACAUUCAUUUAACGGUUCAUAAAAUGUUAUGCAAAAUUCUUAGGUAAUCAAACAUCACACCAGUAUGUUAAACAAGAGAAGUCAAAACUGACUAGAAUUUUGAGUGAGUAAAGGAAUAAAAUUCUCAUUGCUCCUUAACCCUUAUAGCAUGAUAAGCCUCGAUCUCUGCUUUGCCAAUUUUCAUUACUUUUAUUGCAAAGUUCAAGCUUUCUCUUUUCCAAAAAUGGUCUAAUAUUUACUUGAGAGCAGCAAUGAUAAAAACAAACAUCAUCCACUAAAAUCAAGGGAUCACACUUUUCUUGAAAAUGGAUUAAAAAAAAAAACACUUCAAGGAGAACACGAAAGUAUGGGUCAACAGGUUAAAAAUACACACAGAAUAAAAUAAGCAUGCAAAGGCACAAAGGCAAGUGAACCAUGAAUCCUGAUAUAAGGGUUUGUGUGAAGAACAAGUGGAAAGACUAUGUAUUGGUGAAAAAAAAAAAGAAAAGAAAAGGCACUCUUUCUAUGUUGAAUUGAUGAAGGAUAAUGGUAAGGUUCUGAAAGAUUCUGGAGAAAUUAUUUUGUGACAGAUAUCUCUCUGUGUGUUUUGCAAAAGUAAUGCCUAUGUGUGUGACAUAAAUAAUAAAAGUAUGUAA
Molecule: long non-coding RNA, 6337 nt
Organism: Pomacea canaliculata
Lineage: Eukaryota; Metazoa; Mollusca; Gastropoda; Architaenioglossa; Ampullariidae
Exons: 2
Source: RefSeq, a predicted model, not a curated record